This 1045-nucleotide long non-coding RNA is filed under the name Betta splendens (Siamese fighting fish). RNAcentral's name for it is "lncRNA (ENSBSLG00000008463.1)". The record is from RNAcentral. Lineage: Eukaryota; Metazoa; Chordata; Actinopteri; Anabantiformes; Osphronemidae.
AACUAAUUAGACUAACUGAAUAACCGAGUAAUCAGCUUGGCGCUGCAUGAACAUAUAAUGUCUGUCCCAGUAGAACUUCCUGUUAAAGAACCAAUUACCCAGACGCUCCUCACACAGUCCUGUGGCACAUCAGUCGUGAGCCGACCCGCUGAUUCACCUGUGACAAGUAAAAAGAGAGUCUGACCGAGUCAAACCGAGGCGGGGGAUUAAAAAAAAACACCCCACAAGCGCCGGGUUCUGUGCGCCUCAGCACAGUGAGCCACUAAUUACUGCAGAUGAAAGCGACAAAGAGCCCCGCGCUGCGCGGCGCUGAGUGACAGACGGCAGAGGAGAACGCCGGAUCAGACAGAGACACGAGGCAGAGGGGGUUCCGCUGAAGUGGCCCCGCGGAGUAAUGACGGUCCGGUGCGUCGCCAUGAACAGGCCGGUGGGCGUUUGGAGGAGAGCGGGUCACCGCCGCAGCAGCACAAGUGUUUGUGCGCGUGUUGGUUGAAGAGGCAGCCAAAGAUCCGUUUUAUUGUACCGCUCUUCAACUUUGACCCCUCAUCUGCCUCCUUACAUCCUCCAGCGGGCAAGUCUGAUGUAGUAGCACAGUUUAAAGUUAAUAUUUUACUGUGAAACAGUCCCAGAGCUUUAAGGCGGCACCAGGCAACCUCAUACAUUAACGCGCCCGAAGAGCAACUCAAGAAUGUGAACCAGAUUUCCUAGAAACCCAGAGGUGCUACGCGUAAACUGCACACGUCAGACUGUAAAGCCUGACAUAUACGAGAUGGAGGAGCCCUUUAUCACUUCUGCACAGACACGCACCUCUGUUUUUGCUUUUUCACUCAUCUUUUUCAUGAUCUGAAAUCUCAGCACCACCAGUGAUUUAUUUCAACAAAGAAGCCUCACAUAGUUGUAAUUGAUUGUUGACAAGACUGGAAAAUGACUAGUGCAGUCAUUUGAUCGUUUGCGUAGUAUGUGGUGUUUGUUCAACUCAGUGAUUCUGUGCUGGGAGUCUAGACUAUAUAAUAAAUCAUGCAACUACAGCUGUUACUUAGACUAG